GGUUAAGCGACUAAGCGUACACGGUGGAUGCCCUGGCAGUCAGAGGCGAUGAAGGACGUGCUAAUCUGCGAAAAGCGUCGGUAAGGUGAUAUGAACCGUUAUAACCGGCGAUGUCCGAAUGGGGAAACCCAGUGCAAUUCGUUGCACUAUCGUUAACUGAAUACAUAGGUUAACGAGGCGAACCGGGGGAACUGAAACAUCUAAGUACCCCGAGGAAAAGAAAUCAACCGAGAUUCCCCCAGUAGCGGCGAGCGAACGGGGAGCAGCCCAGAGUCUGAAUCAGCUUGUGUGUUAGUGGAACGGUCUGGAAAGUCCGACGGUACAGGGUGAUAGUCCCGUACACCAAAAUGCACAGGCUGUGAACUCGAAGAGUAGGGCGGGACACGUGGUAUCCUGUCUGAAUAUGGGGGGACCAUCCUCCAAGGCUAAAUACUCCUGACUGACCGAUAGUGAACCAGUACCGUGAGGGAAAGGCGAAAAGAACCCCGGCGAGGGGAGUGAAAAAGAACCUGAAACCGUGUACGUACAAGCAGUGGGAGCACCUUCGGGUGUGACUGCGUACCUUUUGUAUAAUGGGUCAGCGACUUAUAUUCUGUAGCAAGGUUAACCGUAUAGGGGAGCCGCAGGGAAACCGAGUCUUAACUGGGCGUUAAGUUGCAGGGUAUAGACCCGAAACCCGGUGAUCUAGCCAUGGGCAGGUUGAAGGUUGGGUAACACUAACUGGAGGACCGAACCGACUAAUGUUGAAAAAUUAGCGGAUGACUUGUGGCUGGGGGUGAAAGGCCAAUCAAACCGGGAGAUAGCUGGUUCUCCCCGAAAGCUAUUUAGGUAGCGCCUCGUGAAUUCAUCUUCGGGGGUAGAGCACUGUUUCGGCUAGGGGGUCAUCCCGACUUACCAACCCGAUGCAAACUACGAAUACCGAAGAAUGUUAUCACGGGAGACACACGGCGGGUGCUAACGUCCGUCGUGAAGAGGGAAACAACCCAGACCGCCAGCUAAGGUCCCAAAGUCAUGGUUAAGUGGGAAACGAUGUGGGAAGGCACAGACAGCCAGGAUGUUGGCUUAGAAGCAGCCAUCAUUUAAAGAAAGCGUAAUAGCUCACUGGUCGAGUCGGCCUGCGCGGAAGAUGUAACGGGGCUAAACCAUGCACCGAAGCUGCGGCAGCGACACUAUGUGUUGUUGGGUAGGGGAGCGUUCUGUAAGCCUGCGAAGGUGACCUGUGAGGGUUGCUGGAGGUAUCAGAAGUGCGAAUGCUGACAUAAGUAACGAUAAAGCGGGUGAAAAGCCCGCUCGCCGGAAGACCAAGGGUUCCUGUCCAACGUUAAUCGGGGCAGGGUGAGUCGACCCCUAAGGCGAGGCCGAAAGGCGUAGUCGAUGGGAAACAGGUUAAUAUUCCUGUACUUGGUGUUACUGCGAAGGGGGGACGGAGAAGGCUAUGUUAGCCGGGCGACGGUUGUCCCGGUUUAAGCAUGUAGGCUGGUUGUCCAGGCAAAUCCGGAUAAUCAAGGCUGAGGUGUGAUGACGAGGCACUACGGUGCUGAAGUAACAAAUGCCCUGCUUCCAGGAAAAGCCUCUAAGCAUCAGGUAACAUUAAAUCGUACCCCAAACCGACACAGGUGGUCAGGUAGAGAAUACCAAGGCGCUUGAGAGAACUCGGGUGAAGGAACUAGGCAAAAUGGUGCCGUAACUUCGGGAGAAGGCACGCUGGUGUGUAGGUGAAGUCCCUGCGGAUGGAGCUGAGACCAGUCGAAGAUACCAGCUGGCUGCAACUGUUUAUUAAAAACACAGCACUGUGCAAACACGAAAGUGGACGUAUACGGUGUGACGCCUGCCCGGUGCCGGAAGGUUAAUUGAUGGGGUUAUCCGUAAGGAGAAGCUCUUGAUCGAAGCCCCGGUAAACGGCGGCCGUAACUAUAACGGUCCUAAGGUAGCGAAAUUCCUUGUCGGGUAAGUUCCGACCUGCACGAAUGGCGUAAUGAUGGCCAGGCUGUCUCCACCCGAGACUCAGUGAAAUUGAACUCGCUGUGAAGAUGCAGUGUACCCGCGGCAAGACGGAAAGACCCCGUGAACCUUUACUAUAGCUUGACACUGAACAUUGAGCCUUGAUGUGUAGGAUAGGUGGGAGGCUUUGAAGCGUGGACGCCAGUCUGCGUGGAGCCAACCUUGAAAUACCACCCUUUAAUGUUUGAUGUUCUAACGUUGGCCCCUUACCGGGGUUGCGGACAGUGUCUGGUGGGUAGUUUGACUGGGGCGGUCUCCUCCCAAAGCGUAACGGAGGAGCACGAAGGUUAGCUAAUCCUGGUCGGACAUCAGGAGGUUAGUGCAAUGGCAUAAGCUAGCUUGACUGCGAGCGUGACGGCGCGAGCAGGUGCGAAAGCAGGUCAUAGUGAUCCGGUGGUUCUGAAUGGAAGGGCCAUCGCUCAACGGAUAAAAGGUACUCCGGGGAUAACAGGCUGAUACCGCCCAAGAGUUCAUAUCGACGGCGGUGUUUGGCACCUCGAUGUCGGCUCAUCACAUCCUGGGGCUGAAGUAGGUCCCAAGGGUAUGGCUGUUCGCCAUUUAAAGUGGUACGCGAGCUGGGUUUAGAACGUCGUGAGACAGUUCGGUCCCUAUCUGCCGUGGGCGCUGGAGAAUUGAGGGGGGCUGCUCCUAGUACGAGAGGACCGGAGUGGACGCAUCACUGGUGUUCGGGUUGUCAUGCCAAUGGCACUGCCCGGUAGCUAAAUGCGGAAGAGAUAAGUGCUGAAAGCAUCUAAGCACGAAACUUGCCCCGAGAUGAGUUCUCCCUGAGACUUUAAGUCUCCUGAAGGAACGUUGAAGACGACGACGUUGAUAGGCCGGGUGUGUAAGCGCAGCGAUGCGUUGAGCUAACCGGUACUAAUGAACCGUGAGGCUUAACCUU
This 2902-nucleotide ribosomal RNA is filed under the name Klebsiella pneumoniae. RNAcentral describes it as "23S ribosomal RNA". It matches the Rfam family "Bacterial large subunit ribosomal RNA". RNAcentral also lists the same sequence under 1 other name. The record is from RNAcentral. Lineage: Bacteria; Pseudomonadati; Pseudomonadota; Gammaproteobacteria; Enterobacterales; Enterobacteriaceae.